AAAGUCUGACCUGCCCUAUGAUAAUAAAAUUAUUAAAUGGCCGCGAUAUUUUGAUCGUGCAAAGGUAGCAUAAUAAUUAGUUUUUUAAUUGAGGACUGGCAUGAAAGGUCGAACGAGAAAAAAACUGUCUCAAUUUAAAUUUAAUUAGAAUUUUAUUUUUAAGUAAGAAAGCUUAAAUAUAUUUAAAAGACGAGAAGACCCUAUAGAGUUUUAUAUUUAUUGAAAUUUAAAAAAUUUAAGAAUUUUAAUUUUAUUGUUUUUUAAUAAAUAUUUGGUUGGGGCGAUUGGAAAAUUAAAUAAACUUUUCUUUAUUUUUAACAUUGAUAUAUGAUUAAUUGAUCCA
This 343-nucleotide ribosomal RNA is filed under the name Digitonthophagus gazella. RNAcentral describes it as "partial 16S ribosomal RNA". The record is from RNAcentral. Lineage: Eukaryota; Metazoa; Arthropoda; Insecta; Coleoptera; Scarabaeidae.